RNAcentral lists this ribosomal RNA (274 nucleotides) under uncultured bacterium. RNAcentral describes it as "partial 16S ribosomal RNA". It matches the Rfam family "Bacterial small subunit ribosomal RNA", at positions 523 to 796 of the family's 1533-position model. The record is from RNAcentral.
AGACGGAGGGUGCAAACGUUAUUCGGAAUUACUGGGCAUAAAGAGCACGUAGGCGGCUAACUAAGUCGGGCGUGAAAGCCCUCGGCUCAACCGAGGAAUUGCGUCCGAAACUGGUUGGCUUGAGGACGGCAGGGGUGAGUGGAACUCCAGGUGGAGCGGUGAAAUGCGUAGAUAUCUGGAGGAACACCGGUGGCGAAAGCGGCUCACUGGGCCGUCUCUGACGCUGAGGUGCGAAAGCCAGGGGAGCAAACGGGAUUAGAAACCCCAGUAGUCC